AUGUAUAUGAUAACUGAGAAUAAAGUGUUUGAGUUUUCUUGUAAUACUAAGAUUCCAUGGCAGGGGUCACUGAAUCACAGCCCCUCAGCCAAAUCUGGUCUGCAUACAGCCAUGCCCAUUUGUUUGGUUUUGUCUUGGAUGCUUUCACGGUACAACAGCAGAGUUGAACAACUGUAAGAGAGUCUACAAAAACUAACAUAAUUACUAUCUGACUCAUUAUAGAAAAACGUGAGGUCCUCUGCUCUAUGGUUCUAUUAGAUUGGUGCAAAAGUAAUUGCGGUUUUGCAUUGUUGAACUUUGCCGUUUGAUAUUGGAAUACGUUUCUAAAUACGUGUGGUCAUCUGCGUAGCUGAGAUUAUUGAUAUUUCUUGCGGCAAUCCUGAUUCCAGCUUGUGCUUCAUCAACUGGGGGCUCCCUAAUCUACUGUUUGUCUUUUAAUUGAAAUUUUUAUUGAGAUAAUUAUAGAUUAACAUAGAAUUGUAAGAAAUAAUAAUGACCCCUUCUACACUUUGCCUUCCUUGAUGGCUCAGUGGUAAAGAAUCCAUCUGCCAGUGCAGGAGACAUGGGCUCAAUCCCUGGAGAAGGAAAUGGCAACGAACUACAGUAUUCUUGCCUGGAAAAUCCCAUGGACAGAGGAGUCUUGUUACAGUCCAUGGGGUUGCAAAGAGUUGGACAUGACUUAGUGACUAAACAACAAAUGUUGGCAAUUUGAUCUCUGGUUCCUCUGCCUUUUCUAAAACUAGCUUGAACAUCUGGAAGUUCAUGGUUCACAUACUGCUGAAGCCUGGCUUGGAGAAUUUUGAGCAUUACUUUACUAGCGUGUGAGACAAGCAAUGCUCAAAGUAUGGCUGACUGAUGUUGAUUGUUUUCAUUAAUAAAAAAGUGCCCCCAAGCCAGUUACCCUAAAUCAAAGUUAAAAUAUUGACAGGAACCUACAUUGAACCACAUGUGUUAACCCCCAACCCAAGUUCCAAUCUUUUCCAGUCCAAGUUAACAAUCACUUUUAAUGCCUCGCAUGCUUUCCAUAUAACCUUAUGCCUAAAUACACACAUGUAUUUCUAAAAAAAUCAUUUUUAAAUUUUAAGAUUUUGCAGCUAUAAAAAACUGUGUUAUGCUAUAUUUUAAGUUUGGGGACAUACUUUUAUAAUUUGAAUCAUAUUGGUGAUAUUCAUCUAUAAUUCCAUGUGUCUGUCACUGUAGAUCAGCUGUGGU
RNAcentral lists this long non-coding RNA (1212 nucleotides) under Ovis aries (sheep). RNAcentral's name for it is "lncRNA (ENSOARG00000025334.1)". Lineage: Eukaryota; Metazoa; Chordata; Mammalia; Artiodactyla; Bovidae. The record is from RNAcentral.